Molecule: ribosomal RNA, 710 nt
Filed under: uncultured bacterium
Lineage: Bacteria
Description: bacterial SSU rRNA
Rfam family: Bacterial small subunit ribosomal RNA
Source: RNAcentral
GGUGAGUAACACGUGGGCAACCUGCCUGUAAGACGGGGAUAACUCCGGGAAACCGGGGCUAAUACCGGAUGAUUCUUCUCUGCACAUGCAGGGAAGCUAAAAGAUGGUUUACGCUAUCGCUUACAGAUGGGCCCGCGGCGCAUUAGCUAGUUGGUGAGGUAACGGCUCACCAAGGCGACGAUGCGUAGCCGACCUGAGAGGGUGAUCGGCCACACUGGGACUGAGACACGGCCCAGACUCCUACGGGAGGCAGCAGUAGGGAAUCUUCCACAAUGGACGAAAGUCUGAUGGAGCAACGCCGCGUGAGCGAUGAAGGCCUUCGGGUCGUAAAGCUCUGUUGUUAGGGAAGAACAAGUACCGGAGUAACUGCCGGUACCUUGACGGUACCUAACCAGAAAGCCACGGCUAACUACGUGCCAGCAGCCGCGGUAAUACGUAGGUGGCAAGCGUUGUCCAGAAUUAUUGGGCGUAAAGCGCGCGCAGGCGGUCCUUUAAGUCUGAUGUGAAAGCCCCCGGCUCANCCGGGGAGGGUCAUUGNANACUGGAGGACUUGAGUGCAGAAGANGAAAGCGGAAUUCCACGUGUAGCGGUGAAAUGCGUAGAGAUGUGGAGGAACACCAGUGGCGAAGGCGGCUUUCUGGUCUGUAACUGACGCUGANGCGCGAAAGCGUGGGGAGCAAACAGGAUUANAUACCCUGGUAGUCCACGCC